Molecule: unclassified non-coding RNA, 254 nt
Filed under: fungal sp.
Lineage: Eukaryota; Fungi
Description: partial internal transcribed spacer region
Rfam family: Eukaryotic small subunit ribosomal RNA (bases 1-45)
Source: RNAcentral
AGUCGUAACAAGGUAUCCGUAGGUGAACCUGCGGAUGGAUCAUUACCAAAGUGUUCCAUCCUAAACCCUGUGAACUGUGAGUCUGGUGUCUUUGGGCAUCAUCCUUGAACACUUACAAGUCCUCACGGGCACGUUUGUGGCGGCAUGUUCAGCGCUACGGGAGUGCCGGCUGUACCCUACUAUGUAUAAUCAAGAAGAACUGAAGUACUUUGAACCUAAAGAUACAACUUUUAGCAAUGGAUCUCUAGGCUCUU